Molecule: transfer RNA, 82 nt
Filed under: Pseudorhodoferax sp. Leaf274
Lineage: Bacteria; Pseudomonadati; Pseudomonadota; Betaproteobacteria; Burkholderiales; Comamonadaceae
Rfam family: tRNA
About the family: Transfer RNA (tRNA) molecules are approximately 80 nucleotides in length. Their secondary structure includes four short double-helical elements and three loops (D, anti-codon, and T loops).
Source: Rfam by way of RNAcentral
GGUGGUGUAGCUCAGCAGGUAGAGCGCUCCGCAGCUGCAUCACAGCGCGUUGAGGCCGCUGGUUCGAUUCCGGUCGCCACCC